This 1010-nucleotide long non-coding RNA is filed under the name Papio anubis (olive baboon). Its description in RNAcentral is "lncRNA (ENSPANG00000039855.1)". Lineage: Eukaryota; Metazoa; Chordata; Mammalia; Primates; Cercopithecidae. The record is from RNAcentral.
AAGGGCUGCAAAAGACACCAAACCUCUGAGAAAUGGGUCUGGAAACCACAUGUAUAAAGAGCUGAGGGCGGGGGGGCUGGUGGGGACACGAUAGUGCACGUUAUGUACGUGGUAAUUUUUUUUAACUUCACAUUAUUUAUUAGCUUAACUUUUCUUUUCCUUCCCUCUCCUCCCCUCAUUUGAAGAGCUAAUACAUGCAAAGUUAUGACCUCCAUGUCUGGAACAGACAUGGAAACAGCCUCUUCUGUUUGAUGAGAAUCAUCCCAAAGUUGGCAUAUGAACCUUGAGUUUCAAGUAUGGAUGCUGAGCUCUUGACAAUGGCAGGAGUAGAAGUCCUUGCUCUGUAAUGGGGGCUGCACGUAUUGACUUCCUUCCAAAGAGUAUGGAAACGGAGAAAAAUAAGGUUACCGUGGAAAAACUUUUACAGUGAAAAGCACUGCUUCAGCAAGGUGAUCAAGGUUAGCAUCAACAGUGAUGAAUCAUGCUGAUGCUGUGUACCCCUGAUAUGAUAUGGUGAGAAUGGCACUUUACCUCUCCCAUAACCCCCAUAACCUGGUCUAACCAUGAGGAAAACAUCAAACAAAUUCCUAUUGAGGGACAGUCUGCAAAAUAUCUGAGCAGUACUCAAACUGUCUGGGUGAUCACAAAAUAAGGAAACUCUGAGAACGUGUCAUGUCCAAAUGGAGCCUACAGGAGAGAGGAUGACUAAACGUAAUGGGCUGUGCUGGAUGGGAUCCUGGAACAGGAAAGUAUGUUAAGGAAAAACUAAGGAAAUUGCACUAAACAAUGGACCUUGAUUAAUAAUAAUGUAUCAAUACUGAUUCAUCAAUUGUGACAGUGUAUCAGACUAAUGUAAGAUAUUAAGAAGGCAAACUGAGCGUGAGGUAUGAGGGAACUCUCUGUACUAUCUUUGUAAUAUUUUUUAUAAGUCUAAAACUAUUCUAAAAUUAAAAGUUUACUGUUGUAAAAAAAUGACAUCUCAAACAUUAAUAUUUCGUUUCAAGUUCUCA